This 446-nucleotide ribosomal RNA is filed under the name uncultured bacterium. RNAcentral describes it as "partial 16S ribosomal RNA". It matches the Rfam family "Bacterial small subunit ribosomal RNA", at positions 338 to 795 of the family's 1533-position model. The record is from RNAcentral.
CCUACGGGUCGCAGCAGUCGAGAAUCAUUCACAAUGGGGGAAACCCUGAUGGUGCGACGCCGCGUGGGGGAAUGAAAGUCUUCGGAUUGUAAACCCCUGUCAUGUGGGAGCAAAUUAAAAAGAUAGUACCACAAGAGGAAGAGACGGCUAACUCUGUGCAAGCAGCCGCGGUAAUACAGAGGUCUCAAGCGUUGUUCGGAAUCACUGGGCGUAAAGGGUGCGUAGGCUGUUUCGUAAGUCGUGUGUGAAAGGCGCGGGCUCAACCCGCGGACGGCACAUGAUACUGCGAGACUAGAGUAAUGGAGGGGGAACCGGAAUGCUCGGUGUAGCAGUGAAAUGCGUAGAUAUCGAGAGGAACACUCGUGGCGAAGGCGGGUUCCUGGACAUUAACUGACGCUGAGGCACGAAGGCCAGGGGAGCGAAAGGGAUUAGAUACCCCGGUAGUC